RNAcentral lists this ribosomal RNA (213 nucleotides) under Lachaisea sp. 2192_04. Its description in RNAcentral is "partial 28S ribosomal RNA". It matches the Rfam family "Eukaryotic large subunit ribosomal RNA", at positions 967 to 1163 of the family's 3401-position model. Lineage: Eukaryota; Metazoa; Arthropoda; Insecta; Hymenoptera; Epichrysomallidae. The record is from RNAcentral.
UUUCCCUCAGGAUAGCUGGCACUCGCUUGAGCGAGUCUCAUCUGGUAAAGCGAAUGAUUAGAGGCCUUGGGGCCGAAACGACCUCAACCUAUUCUCAAACUUUAAAUGGGUGAGAUCUCUGGCUUGCUUGAACAUUGUGAAGCCACGAGAUUAUCGAAAUGGAUCAGAGUGCCAAGUGGGCCAAUUUUGGUAAGCAGAACUGGCGCUGUGGGA